Molecule: ribosomal RNA, 465 nt
Filed under: uncultured bacterium
Lineage: Bacteria
Description: partial 16S ribosomal RNA
Rfam family: Bacterial small subunit ribosomal RNA
Source: RNAcentral
GACGAACGCUGGCGGCGUGCUUAACACAUGCAAGUCGAACGGAAAGGCCCUGCUUGCAGGGUACUCGAGUGGCGAACGGGUGAGUAACACGUGGGUGAACUGCCCUGCACUUCGGGAUAAGCCUGGGAAACUGGGUCUAAUACCGGAUAGGAGCCAUUUUUAGUGGGAUGGUUGGAAAGUUUUUUCGGUGUAGGAUGAGCUCGCGGCCUAUCAGCUGGUUGGGGGGGUAAUGGCCUACCAAGGCGGCGACGGGUAGCCGGCCUGAGGGGGUGGACGGCCACACUGGGACUGAGGGACGGCCCAGACUCCUACGGGAGGCAGCAGUGGGGAAUAUUGCACAAUGGGCGCCAGCCUGAUGCAGCGACGCCGCGUGGGGGAGGACGGCCUUCGGGUUGUAAACACCUUUCGCUAGGGACGAAGCUUUUUGUGACGGUACCUAGAGAAGAAGCACCGGCUAACUACGUG